AUACUCUUUGGCAUUGAAUAUUUCCGCCUUGGCAAGACGUAAAUUUUUCAAAGUGACAUUUCAAAGUGAUCUCAGAGGAGUGAAGAUUGUCAAGAGUUCAGUGCAUAGAAAGAUGUCGGACGGAUCUCCAGGAGAGAAUCUCGGAGAGAAUCUCGGAGACGAUCGCGAAGAGGAGCUCGGUGAGGAAAAUCACGAGCAGGAAGUGGGGUUAGGUUCCCAGGGAUCAACGGCAGAGUCUCUGCGCGAGAUCGAGGAUUCGGGAGACGAGGACGAGGAACAGCCCCCCCCCAAAGAGGCACUGUCCGGCAGUAAACCCACAGAUUGAGAAACAAACAGAAGAGACAGGCGAAGGCCACGCCAGCCCAAAUCGAUUAUAUGGUUGAUUAUUUUAUCUAGCAUCCGCACAUCGCAACAGGGAAAUUUCAAUCUCUCCAUGGAAAAUCGGAUUUGGCCGCGUCGUGGGAGCAACUCGUGGAGGAACUGAACAAGAUGGGAAAAGAUGAGAGAGGGAAAGACGUAAAAUCAUGGAAAUCAACGUGGCGAGACAACAAGACCACUGUGUCGCAAAAAGUAGCGAAAAUUCGAGCAAAUCGUUCGAGGACAGGGAAUGUUGGUGGCCCUUGAGUGAAACCGACCGAAUGAGAGGAAAAAAUUAUAGGCAUUAUGGGCUUCGAUUACGUGGAAGGAGUGGAAUGCCCUGAUGCCUUUCCCGAAGAACAGUUAAACGCCAUAGAGCUACUGGCAGAAGGAGACGAGAGCAUACUCGAUAAGGAUGGCAGCAUCUUAACUUUGCAAGACUACGUCGAGGCCGGUGCUCUCGAUUACACUAAUAAAUAUAGAAGUUCUCGAUAACUUUGAUGGCGGGGAGGCAACUUUGGAGGAAGGCUCUUCAAUACCUGAAGAAAAUACAGACGCUGCAUUGCCACCACCACCGCCACCUCCUCCAGCAAUAACACCAUCUCCAGCAGAUGCAUUGGCAGAACCUGGCCCGAGUGGCCUUAAUCAACAAGGAAGAGCCUCGAAAGUCACAAGACCUAGAUGCCCUACUUGUAAAAAACUGGCCGGAGAAAUUCAAACACUGAAAAUCCUUAUCGAAGCUAGCCAAAAGUGGAUUACGGAGAGGUUUGAUUACAUGUCUACCAAGAUGCAAGCCAUGUUUAUAUUGUUAUCUUUGAAUAAUCAUGCCACAUAUGAAGAUAUUGAAGACAAAUUUCCUAUGACAAGUUUGGAAGACAUGGAAGAUUUUGUAAAUAAACUGAAGAAUCCAAAAUUGAAACAAAAAAUAGUAUGGAUGAAUUGAAGUUCGUGACCGUGUAGAUACCGUGUUGGCCCGAAUAGAAGUCGAGGUUUUUAGUAACCGACUUUACCCUCAAAAACCGAACUCGACUUAUAUUCAGGACUUUGUAGGGGAUCUGCAUUAUCAACUGGGAACUUCUUUAUAGACCGAUAAUUGUAAUAUUCUCGCAAUGCAAUAUUCGCGCACUACGCGUGCGUGCCUAAUCUCGAAGAUCGAAAAUUUGAACUUCAAUUUUUUCAAAGCAUCAGUAUAAAGUCGGAAAUACAAAUUGUUUAUUAGAUGUUUCGUGCAUGCAAUAAUUGAGAAAAUGAAUAUUCAGAGUGCAGAUAGAGUGGAGUGUAGGGAUUCAAAGACAAAACAAGUGAACAAAAACGUUCGUCGUAGUUAUGAUGCGAACUUUAAACUCAUGGUUGUGCGAGAAGCCGAAAAAUAUUGAAAAUUGAAAUGUCAAAAUGAGUGUUAUUUGAAGAUAAAUUAGUUUACUAUAGAAAAAUGAAAACGAUAUCAAAAUAUGAAUUAUUGUUAACUAUAUCAUUCAUCACGCAAUAUUAUCAUUUGGUUAACUUAUUCUCA
This 1870-nucleotide long non-coding RNA is filed under the name Neodiprion pinetum (white pine sawfly). RNAcentral describes it as "uncharacterized LOC124223860, transcript variant X1". The record is from RNAcentral. Lineage: Eukaryota; Metazoa; Arthropoda; Insecta; Hymenoptera; Diprionidae.